GACUCCAUGAAGCUGGAUUCGCUAGUAAUCGCGCAUCAGCCACGGCGCGGUGAAUACGUUCCCGGGCCUUGUACACACCGCCCGUCAAGCCAUGGAAGCCGGGAGUGCCUGAAGUGCGUGAGCGCAAGCAGCGCCCUAAGGUAAAACCGGUGACUGGGGCUAAGUCGUAACAAGGUAGC
RNAcentral lists this ribosomal RNA (179 nucleotides) under uncultured bacterium. RNAcentral describes it as "partial 16S ribosomal RNA". It matches the Rfam family "Bacterial small subunit ribosomal RNA", at positions 1314 to 1500 of the family's 1533-position model. The record is from RNAcentral.